Molecule: ribosomal RNA, 492 nt
Filed under: uncultured bacterium
Lineage: Bacteria
Description: partial 16S ribosomal RNA
Rfam family: Bacterial small subunit ribosomal RNA
Source: RNAcentral
AGUGAACGCUGGCGGUAGGCCUAACACAUGCAAGUCGAACGGCAGCACAGUAAGAGCUUGCUCUUACGGGUGGCGAGUGGCGGACGGGUGAGGAAUACAUCGGAAUCUACUUUUUCGUGGGGGAUAACGUAGGGAAACUUACGCUAAUACCGCAUACGACCUACGGGUGAAAGCAGGGGAUCUUCGGACCUUGCGCGAUUGAAUGAGCCGAUGUCGGAUUAGCUAGUUGGCGGGGUAAAGGCCCACCAAGGCGACGAUCCGUAGCUGGUCUGAGAGGAUCAUCAGCCACACUGGAACUGAGACACGGUCCAGACUCAUACGGGAGGCAGCAGUGGGGAAUAUUGGACAAUGGGCGCAAGCCUGAUCCAGCCAUACCGCGUGGGUGAAGAAGGCCUUCGGGUUGUAAAGCCCUUUUGUUGGGAAAGAAAAGCAGCAGGUUAAUACCCCGCUGUUCUGACGGUACCCAAAGAAUAAGCACCGGCUAACUUCGUG